GUGUCAGCAGCCGCGGUAAUACGAAGGGGGCUAGCGUUGUUCGGAAUUACUGGGCGUAAAGCGCACGCAGGCGGAUCGAUAAGUCAGGGGUGAAAUCCCGGGGCUCAACCUCGGAAUUGCCUUUGAUACUGUCGAUCUCGAGUCCGGGAGAGGUGAGUGGAAUUCCUAGUGUAGAGGUGAAAUUCGUAGAUAUUAGGAAGAACACCAGUGGCGAAGGCGGCUCACUGGCCCGGUACUGACGCUCAGGUGCGAAAGCGUGGGGAGCAAACAGGAUUAGAAACCCUCGUAGUCC
Molecule: ribosomal RNA, 292 nt
Filed under: uncultured bacterium
Lineage: Bacteria
Description: partial 16S ribosomal RNA
Rfam family: Bacterial small subunit ribosomal RNA
Source: RNAcentral